GGCCGCGUGGCCCAAUGGCAAGGCGCUUGACUACGAUCCAGUAGAUCAUCAAGAGAUUCCAGGUUCGACCCCUGGCGUGGUCA
Molecule: non-coding RNA, 83 nt
Organism: Phyllosticta capitalensis
Lineage: Eukaryota; Fungi; Ascomycota; Dothideomycetes; Botryosphaeriales; Phyllostictaceae
Source: the annotation of a GenBank genome assembly